GACGAACGCUGGCGGCGUGCCUAAUACAUGCAAGUCGAGCGGACUGAUUAAGAGCUUGCUCUUAUGACGUUAGCGGCGGACGGGUGAGUAACACGUGGGCAACCUGCCCUGUAGAUCGGGAUAACACCGAGAAAUCGGUGCUAAUACCGGGCAAUAUCUGAGAUCACAUGAUCUUAGGUUAAAAGAUGGCUCCGGCUAUCACUACAGGAUGGGCCCGCGGCGCAUUAGCUAGUUGGUAAGGUAAUGGCUUACCAAGGCGACGAUGCGUAGCCGACCUGAGAGGGUGAUCGGCCACACUGGGACUGAGACACGGCCCAGACGCCUACGGGAGGCAGCAGUAGGGAAUCUUCCGCAAUGGACGAAAGUCUGACGGAGCAACGCCGCGUGAGUGAUGAAGGGGUUCGGCUCGUAAAGCUCUGUUGUUAGGGAAGAAACAGUACCGAACGAACUAGGUCGGUACCUUGACGGUACCUAACCAGAAAGCCACGGCUAACUACGUG
This 500-nucleotide ribosomal RNA is filed under the name uncultured bacterium. RNAcentral describes it as "partial 16S ribosomal RNA". It matches the Rfam family "Bacterial small subunit ribosomal RNA", at positions 28 to 507 of the family's 1533-position model. The record is from RNAcentral.